CAUGUUUAUUCCACAUUUUGUUCAUUCAUUCAGUCAUUCAUUUAUGGAUGCAUGGAUGCAUUCAUGGAUGCAACUUAGGUUGCUUCCACCUUUUGGGUGUUGUGAAUAGUGCUCCUCUGAACACAGGCAUGCAAAUACCUCUUCAAGACCCUUUCAGUUCUUUUCGGCCUUCCUAUUUUGGAAAAAUCGGGAAUUCAUUUUCAACUCAAUAAGUAUGGGUACCUAAGAGCAGCAGUUGGAGAUGACACAUGUACACAUCCAUACAUUUUAAAUUCAACAAAUAUUUACUGGGUAUCUAAUACGUGCCGGGUUGUACGUUCGCCACUGGGAAUUUAACAAUGAACAAAUCAUCAAUGCUUUUUCUUUCUUUUUCUUUCUCAUAACAGCUUUAUUGUAGUGUAACUCAGACACCAUACAGUAUCCCAAUUAAAGUGUACAGUUCAGUGGUUUUUAGCGUAUUCACAAAGUAGUACAAUUAUCACCAGUAUUUUCAACACCCUUCAAAAGAAACCCCCUAACCAGUAGCAAUCACUCCCCGUUUCUCCCAACCCUCAGCAACCAUUUCAUUCUCUCUCUCUAUUUUUGCCUAUUCAGACAUUUUGUAUAAAUGGAAUCAUACAGUU
Long non-coding RNA from Leopardus geoffroyi (Geoffroy's cat), 623 nucleotides. RefSeq lists it as uncharacterized. The transcript has 2 exons. NCBI's taxonomy places the organism in Eukaryota, Metazoa, Chordata, Mammalia, Carnivora, Felidae. The record is from RefSeq and is a predicted model, not a curated record.